GAGGUGGACUGAUCCUCUCUCUCGCCGCCCCCCAUUUCCCUCCCCGGCUCUGGGAAACAGGCCAGAAUGGGAGACUUGGGAAAGAGGAACCCUCACAAAUGUCCACAAAAAACUUCCUGUCUGUGCGGAGCUGCCAGAAUGGCAAUGAGUUCCUCUGACAUGCUCUCUGCAUUCCCGCCCACCACUGGACUCUGGCCAACGAGGUGGGGAAAGCUGCCAAGGCAGAGAGAAGCCUGAGGCUUGCACAACACAACACACGGCGUCCUACCAGCCAGACAGCUAGGCAGACUGGCACCAAAAUGGCAACAACAGUGACAGAAUCCGGGGGGGUGAAGAUCGUCACAGAGGUCGUCCCGCAGACCGACCCCCGGGCUGCACAGCUGGACUCAACGGCACCACAGCCCAGCUCGGCCCAGGUCAAAGGCUUCAGGAAGGCACAGCCCAAGGCGCUGGGGGCCAUACAGAUCGUAUCUGGUUUCAUUCAGAUCUCCUUUGGGAUUGCCUUGAUGAUAACUGAAUCCCCAGCCCCAGCCCUCACCGUGGCCAGCGGAGUCUACUUCUGGAUUGGCUUGCUGCUCGUGUCCUCAGGAUCUGUGCUGGUGGAGGCUGAGAGAAAAGAAAGCAUCCGGCUGGUGAAAGUCUGCUACAUUAUCAGCGGCCUGGUCAUCCUGGCCACCCUGACAGCUGUGAUCAUUCACAGCGUGGAGAUCAGCCAAGAAAUCCCGUGGUGCAACAUACAUGAGGGCGGCAAAAUGACCCCGCUGAACUGCUCCCAAUCUGUCUACAUUCUGAGUCAUGGGAUUAACUCGAUAUUCAUCCUGCUGUGCCUGCUGGAGCUAUGCACGGCCAUCGCCGCCUUGGUGUAUGGACACAAGGCCUUGAAACAGCAGGACUACACGCAGAUGGUGCUGUGAUGGAGCAGAGGCCGGCUUUGCUCCUCCCACCCCCAGGUGCACUGAGAACAUGAUGGAGAUUUCCUGCAUUGGAGCCACAGCGACAUGGACCCUUGGCCACUUCUUCACCUUCCCAGGCAGGACGGCAGAGGGAGCAAACUCUGAGCCCCAACAUCUCCUGCAGCCCACCCUACCCCCCCCCCACACUCUUCUGUGUCUAGGGGAUAGGGGCAAAUGCUGAGCCAGACACCACUAUUCCUGAGCCCCCAACUGAGAGAUGAGAGCAGCUUUAAUGCUCAAAGUAUCCGCUGACUUUCCCCACAAACUCUCCUGUCUGUAACCUACUGCAGCCCAUGACCUCUCUCAGGACCCUCCUCACAGAAUCCCCUCGUGGACUCUGACCCCUGAAUUCCCCCCCCCCGAAAUUAGGAGGCAGGAGACUCUGACUUUCUGCACCCCAAAACCCUCCCCUGAUUCCUAAACGCUCCAGCCUGUAUGGGGACGGUGAAAACAAACUGACCCACACACACCUUCCCUGGCCCCUCAAACUCGCCAGUCAGUAAUGGGAGAGGAGCUGGAAUGAGACUGAACCCAGGCCUCCCUCUCCCCUCAAAUCCUCCUAUGAUCCCUGGAACUCUCUGCAACCAGAGCACAAGACAGUGAACUCCAAAGCCAUCCUUCCGUCCUGCUCACGCCUCUCCCCCAAUUCCACAAACCCUCCUGUCUGCACAGGCAAACAAGACGGAUGGGGAAAACAGCGGGAGUCAACAGGAUUAUGGAGUAGAAGUUGAUCCAUCCCUUUUUCUUGGUCUUUGCCCCCUGGUCCCCUCACACAACUUUACUGCACCAAGGCAGAGAGUGGGGGUCUGUUUAAUUUUUUUUAUUUGUGUUGCAGUAAAGGAGUGCUGUAAGCAAUGGGCUGUGGAUAAAAGGUAACAGAUUCGGUAACCAGAUAUAAACACUUCUAUUACGUGAUGGAACAUACAAGGCAGCGUGUGAUAUAUUUAAAAAAAAAAAACCUAGAGACAUGACAUCCUGAUUGUCCCAGAACAGAGCAGUGAUACCAUGAUCUCCAUGUAAAUGCCACAUUCAGCCCUCAGUAACUCCUGAUGUCUUGGGCUUCUACCAAGAACUUGGCCCCUCUGUCUCCUGAAAAUCCUCACUCGUUCUCCUUUCAUGUUGUAUUAUCCCAUCUAGAUCACAUGUUUUAUGGACCAGCCUUUAGCACUUGACUUCUUUGCUGAUUUCCAGGUCCUUAGAAUGAUUUCUUCAGCCAUUGCUGAUGCUCUCAAACAACAUAUUUCUGAGGGGAAGUCAAAUCCUUAGCAGCCGUCAGGACUUGUAGAAUAAAGCGCUUAGGACCACCA
Long non-coding RNA from Chrysemys picta bellii (western painted turtle), 2260 nucleotides. NCBI's taxonomy places the organism in Eukaryota, Metazoa, Chordata, Testudines, Emydidae. The record is from Ensembl.